Molecule: ribosomal RNA, 301 nt
Filed under: uncultured bacterium
Lineage: Bacteria
Description: partial 16S ribosomal RNA
Rfam family: Bacterial small subunit ribosomal RNA
Source: RNAcentral
CAGUCGCUGCGGUAAUACAGAGGGUGCGAGCGUUAAUCGGAUUUACUGGGCGUAAAGCGUGCGUAGGCGGCUUUUUAAGUCGGAUGUGAAAUCCCUGAGCUUAACUUAGGAAUUGCAUUCGAUACUGGGAAGCUAGAGUAUGGGAGAGGAUGGUAGAAUUCCAGGUGUAGCGGUGAAAUGCGUAGAGAUCUGGAGGAAUACCGAUGGCGAAGGCAGCCAUCUGGCCUAACACUGACGCUGAGGUACGAAAGCAUGGGGAGCAAACAGGAUUAGAUACCCCUGUAGUCCCUGUCUCUUAUAA